Long non-coding RNA from Poecilia latipinna (sailfin molly), 722 nucleotides. RefSeq lists it as uncharacterized. The transcript has 2 exons. The record is from RefSeq and is a predicted model, not a curated record. NCBI's taxonomy places the organism in Eukaryota, Metazoa, Chordata, Actinopteri, Cyprinodontiformes, Poeciliidae.
UGCAAUAAAAUUCUUGUCAGAGACAAAAUGUUCAGAUAUGAUGAGCUCAUUAUUGCAAACCUUUCCCAAAUCCACAGGGCAAAGCAGUCGCUGUACAGAGACAUAUUUCCUGUAUACCGCCUUAAGGUUGAAAAGACAUCUCAGAAUUUGUUGUUUUGGUUUCCGUCAAAAGAUCAUUUUUCAAACCACAUGUAACCUUUUCAUCUUUUAGUCAGAGCUGAUACCUCUGGCAACUCCCUACAAAUGUCAAGAAAUCCGCUUCCUCUUCCACUCAGCGCUCUUCUACUAUCUGAGAUAUGGGGGAAAAAAUGCUCAAAAUACUUCAUAGGCUUCCUUUGAAGAGUUUAACUUCCUGGUGUCCUCCUUCCUUGAUGGGUACAAUACAUCAUGUCCCAACUCUCACAAAACCUGUAUGUUCCCGCCACUUGAGAAGGGAACCACCACAAGAUGACAUGCUCCUCACACGAACCCUAUGCUGGGAAGGAAAUGUGACAAAUUGCACCCAACACGUUCAGGGUAAUCAAAGAUUAUUAAACAGUCAUGUUAUCAGUUUAUGAAAAAAAAUAUGGGUCAUGAUGAAUACCUGUGGGAGCAGAAGCUGUUGUUUGUGUUUUAAAUUUAGUCUAAGAUCAUAAACGGAUACCAAGCUUCAUCCACAAGCUUCACUAGAACUGAUUUUCUAGAUUGCUACAUUCUCGCCAUUUCAGUACCCAGAGGGUGGG